UCGCUCCUACCGAUUGAGUGCUCAGGUGAAUAAUUCAGACCCCAGUAAUAUUCAGUUCCUGGACGUUACAGGGGAAAGUCUAGUAAACCUUAUCACUUAGAGGAAGGAG
Molecule: ribosomal RNA, 109 nt
Filed under: uncultured eukaryote
Lineage: Eukaryota
Description: partial small subunit ribosomal RNA
Rfam family: Eukaryotic small subunit ribosomal RNA
Source: RNAcentral